Molecule: transfer RNA, 84 nt
Filed under: Mustela putorius furo (domestic ferret)
Lineage: Eukaryota; Metazoa; Chordata; Mammalia; Carnivora; Mustelidae
Rfam family: tRNA
About the family: Transfer RNA (tRNA) molecules are approximately 80 nucleotides in length.
Source: Rfam by way of RNAcentral
GCUUGGGUGGCUCAGCUGGUUGAGUGUCUGCCUUCAGCUCAGGUCAUGAUCCCAGCGUUGUGGGAUCGAGUCCCACACUGGGCU